This is a non-coding RNA of Agelaius phoeniceus (red-winged blackbird), 1298 nucleotides long. Lineage: Eukaryota; Metazoa; Chordata; Aves; Passeriformes; Icteridae. The record is from RefSeq and is a predicted model, not a curated record.
GACACUGUUGGGAGUUUCUUUACAAGCAAAGCAACCUUUAAGAAAAAACAAAGGCAGAAAUUUCCACAAUCCUAGGACAUUAAAACUGAGGGCUGGCACUAAAUAUGACAGAAGCACCUGAGAACUGCAGACUGGCAAUAAAGCUGGUUCUGAUUGAUUCAUAAAAAUAAAAUUUAAAAAAGGAAAAAAAUGAAUGGUAAGAGCCUUAUGCAGGAAUGGAAGAGGCAGAAAAUAGCAUAGCCAGGGCAUGUGCCAAGGUGUGAAAUUGUGGUGACAGAGCUGUGAGCAGCAUCAGCAGACGAGGGCAAGAUCCCUGAACUGGAAGGGAUGGCUUUGCAAUUUGUAUGGAAACACAGAGGGAAAGAAGAACAGGAAAGAAAAAAGAUUUAGCCAUAUAUGGUUGGCUGGUGGAGGGUCCUGGAGGAAUAUUGAAGGCUGUCAGCACAUGGCUGUGAAGACCAAGCUGGAUGAGACAGCAAGCAGCAGCAGCACAAUCCCAGCUGAGCCCAGAAAUCCACACUGCCACUUCCAACACAGGCCUUGCCAGGUCCACAGUCCUGGGGGAGCCUGUGGGGCACCACAGGAAUGCCUGUGGCUACCCAGGGCUGGUCACAAUGCAAGCAGCACAUGGGGCAAGCUGGGGCACAGGAGAAAGAAAAAGAGGUGCAGGAAGCUUCCAGAAGAGGCAGGAAAGCAAAGAAGGGAAGUAUCUGGUGGCACCAGAGGAGGUUAUGAGACUGUGUGCGUUAGGGUCAAUCACAUCAAGGUAAAGAGAAGUGGCUGAUGUGGGCAGGUGAAAUGGAUUUGCUUUAUUAGGAGAAAAGGGAAAAUAGAAUAGAAUGAGUAAUGUUUUGUCAUCUGAAUACCCCAGUCAGUUUGACACCAAAAUUUUAGCCACAGAUUUUCAGGAUGCAGAUGAAAUUGCUCUACUGCAGAUGAGUUAUCACUAACUUCCUGAUUGUAAUGAUUCAUGCACUUCCUUUCAAAUUCCAUUUUUCCUUCUCAUGUGCUCUAUAGCCUAUUCCAGAAAGAAUAUUUAUUACACCAGUCUUUACUAGGUAAGUGUUACUUUUCUUAGCCAGCUGUUUCUGUUCUGCUUUCCUUUUAACAGGAAGAUGAAACAAGUAAAAUUAGUCAGACCACAUUGUACCUUUUUUUGCUCCUUUUCCAGAAAAAAAUAGUAGAUAUGGCCAUAGGAGGCAGAAUACUGAACUCCUCUGACUGCACAGGGUAUUUCUGUAGCUGUAAUGUAGUUUUCUAUGUCCACUAUUAGAUAAUAAUAAUGUCAUCCUAAUAUU